This 567-nucleotide ribosomal RNA is filed under the name uncultured bacterium. Its description in RNAcentral is "partial 16S ribosomal RNA". It matches the Rfam family "Bacterial small subunit ribosomal RNA", at positions 355 to 1375 of the family's 1533-position model. The record is from RNAcentral.
UGGGGAAUAUUGCACAAUGGGCGAAAGCCUGAUGCAGCGACGCCGCGUGAGGGAUGACGGCCUUCGGGUUGUAAACCUCUUUCAGCAGGGAAGAAGCGAAAGUGACGGUACCUGCAGAAGAAGCGCCGGCUAACUACGUGCCAGCAGCCGCGGUAAUACGUAGGGCGCAAGCGUUGUCCGGAAUUAUUGGGCGUAAAGAGCUCGUAGGCGGUUAGUCGCGUCUGCUGUGAAAACUCGAGGCUCAACCUCGGGCUUGCAGUGGGUACGGGCUGACUAGAGUGCGGUAGGGGUGACUGGAAUUCCUGGUGUAGCGGUGGAAUGCGCAGAUAUCAGGAGGAACACCGAUGGCGAAGGCAGGUCACUGGGCCGCAACUGACGCUGAGGAGCGAAAGCAUGGGGAGCGAACAGGAUUAGAUACCCUGGUAGUCCAUGCCGUAAACGUUGGGCACUAGGUGUGGGGUCCAUUCCACGGAUUCCGUGCCGCAGCAAACGCAUUAAGUGCCCCGCCUGGGGAGUACGGCCGCAAGGCUAAACUCAAAUGAAUUGACGGGGUCAUAGCUGUUUCCU